UCGAGAAUUUUUCUCAAUGGGGGCAACCCUGAAGGAGCGACGCCGCGUGGAGGAUGAAGGCUUUCGGGUUGUAAACUCCUGUCAUUUGGGAACAAGUGCUAGCACGUAACUACUGCUAGCUUGAUAGUACCAGAAGAGGAAGAGACGGCUAACUCUGUGCCAGCAGCCGCGGUAAUACAGAGGUCUCAAGCGUUGUUCGGAUUCAUUGGGCGUAAAGGGUGCGUAGGUGGCGCCGUAAGUCAGGUGUGAAAUUUCGGAGCUUAACUCCGAAACUGCAUUUGAUACUGCGGUGCUUGAGGACUGGAGAGGAGACUGGAAUUCACGGUGUAGCAGUGAAAUGCGUAGAUAUCGUGAGGAAGACCAGUGGCGAAGGCGGGUCUCUGGACAGUUCCUGACACUGAGGCACGAAGGCCAGGGGAGCAAACGG
RNAcentral lists this ribosomal RNA (427 nucleotides) under uncultured bacterium. RNAcentral's name for it is "bacterial SSU rRNA". It matches the Rfam family "Bacterial small subunit ribosomal RNA", at positions 355 to 775 of the family's 1533-position model. The record is from RNAcentral.